GCCCGCCUAGCUCAAUCGGAUAGAGCGUCAGACUCUUAUGUAAGGCGGGUUGAUUCCUACCAUCGGAAUCUGAAGGCUGCGAGUUCGACCCUCGCGGUGGGCU
Dentipellis sp. KUC8613 is the source of this 103-nucleotide non-coding RNA. NCBI's taxonomy places the organism in Eukaryota, Fungi, Basidiomycota, Agaricomycetes, Russulales, Hericiaceae. The record is from the annotation of a GenBank genome assembly.